Triticum urartu is the source of this 1916-nucleotide non-coding RNA. NCBI's taxonomy places the organism in Eukaryota, Viridiplantae, Streptophyta, Magnoliopsida, Poales, Poaceae. The record is from RefSeq and is a predicted model, not a curated record.
UUUGUAUUGAUAAUAAUGGGUGCUUUUAGUUAGAUGCAGCAUUUUCAUUCAUGGCAUGGAUGGCGUUUGGAGUUGAUGAUGCUUUUUGUUUGUGAAUGGUAGCCGCGGUUUAUGAUAUGAUGAUACAGGCUCCGCUUCGAAAUAUAAGGCGUAAUGUUUCUGCCCCUCAGAAAUAAAUCAGGCUUUUCGAUGUUUGACCUUUAUUAGUUUUGCAAUGGAGAGAGUAGUACCUUUUGUAGGCAGGGUCCUCUGGUUUGUGUCGCUGUGUUGAAAUAUGUUGCCCGCCCCCCUUUCUCUAUCAGUUCGGUCUUUUGGAUAGAUGAUGGUUGAAUCGGUCGGAACAUGAAUGAACUCACUGUAACACACUGCAUCCGUUCCUUUCUUGAUCUCCCAAGAAUAAGGGGCGUGCGUGUGUCGGUACACUGGACGCGGGCUGUUCAUUUGUAUUUGUUGGGAAUCCUUGCCUUGUUCCCCAAGAAGGUCCGGUUAUCAACGGAAUUUGGUUAAUUCAAUCCAAAGCCGAUUUUUUUUUUGAAAGUAAUCCAAAGCCGAUUUGCCAAACGGCCACCCACCUGAAUAGUUGUCCAAAAAAAAAAAGUUUAGGGCACACGAAUAGUUGUCAAAAAAGAAAAGAGUUAAGGGCAUAAUAAUUUACCGCUUUGCCCGUCGGAUCACGCGCGUCCGUCCAUCUAAAACCCAACGGCCAGGGAAAAUCCGGGGCGGAUGGCCCUCCCGAUCGAGCGUGUUUCCGGAAAAAGGAAGGAAGGAGUCUCGUGUGAUUGAAUGAAAGAAACUAAAUCCAACGAGAUUCUGCUUCCGUUUAUUCGUUCGUCGGUUCUAACCGCCGCCAGACGAUACAGACACGUACUACGUACGGCGAGAGAAUAAUAAUAAACCAGCAGGGAGCGGAAUCGCCCACCGCCGGCCGUACGUGCGCGCCCGAUCUCGCCGUCGCCGUCGAGGACCACGUGCUAGCUCCGGUGCUCGCUCGUUCGGCCGUGCUGCCCGGCUUGGAUUUUCGGCGCCAUGGCGCUCGGCAACAUCGCCGUCGUGCUCGGCUCCGGUGAGUUCCCGUGCUCAUCACCCCUCAGCUUCGGUCCACAUCUAUCUGCCAUGCAUCUACGGUUCUCUCGUCGCCGCCGGCGACUGCCGCGUCCUUCUGAAUCUAUCUGAUGUGCUGCUGAUGCUGGGGUUUAGCUUACAUCUAGCUUCCUGCCUAGGGUUUAGCUUACCUACCCGCUGGGUGGGUACAUACGGAUCAACGGAUCACUUUGGUUCCUACUCUAGUUUACUUUGAUGGCUACAAAUAAUCCAAUCCAAUCCAACUGCUCGCUCACAACCCAUCCCUGUAUCUAUAAUUCUGUCUUCUUACUUGCUUCAAGCAAAGCUUUUGCAGCCUCCCCCCCUUGAUUGAGAAUUGCAGCCUCUGUUCUUUAACAAUCUGCAAUUAGCCUUUAUUUAGGGGAACGCUGCAAAUUCUUCUGCAAAGCAUACUAACGGAUUGCAAAAACUUUCUUUCUUUCUUCUCGGUCUCUUGGCAGGAUAUCUCAGCACUAUUCUUACAGGAGGCGACGCCAAGAAAGUCCCCAUCAUCGGGGACACGCUUGCCCAUUUUGUGAAGAACACCGGCAAGCAUGACAGCAACGAUCAGUUGGCGUCACAGCUCAACAGUAUCAAGGAGGAGGUACAGCGAGUCGUACGCCGCAGAGACGAGAAUGUUACGGUUAUCUCCGACACAUCAGGGUCUGGUUCCUAUACCAUAACAGCAAUUGUCGUUGCUGGGCUUAUCGGCUACACAUACAUCAGGUGGAAGGGUUGGAAGAUUUCUGACAUGAUGUGGGUGACGAAGCGCGGUCUAGCCGAUGCCUGUGAUGUCGUUGGAAAACAGUUAGAUGGUGUUUCAAAUACAGUACAGG